UACGGAGGGUGCAAACGUUGCUCGGAAUCAUUGGGCGUAAAGCGCACGUAGGCGGAUUCGUAAGUCGGAUGUGAAAGCCCUAGGCUCAACCAAGGAAGUGCAUUCGAAACUGCGAGUCUUGAGUACGGGAGAGGAUUGCGGAAUUCCCGGUGUAGAGGUGAAAUUCGUAGAUAUCGGGAGGAACAUCAGUGGCGAAGGCGGCAAUCUGGACCGAUACUGACGCUGAGGUGCGAAAGCGUGGGGAGCAAACAGG
Molecule: ribosomal RNA, 253 nt
Filed under: uncultured bacterium
Lineage: Bacteria
Description: partial 16S ribosomal RNA
Rfam family: Bacterial small subunit ribosomal RNA
Source: RNAcentral